This 253-nucleotide ribosomal RNA is filed under the name uncultured bacterium. RNAcentral describes it as "partial 16S ribosomal RNA". It matches the Rfam family "Bacterial small subunit ribosomal RNA", at positions 524 to 776 of the family's 1533-position model. The record is from RNAcentral.
UACGUAGGGUGCAAGCGUUGUCCGGAAUUAUUGGGCGUAAAGCGCACGCAGGCGGUCUGCUAAGUUUGGAGUGACAGUUGGUGGCUUAACUGCCAAAGUGCUUCGAAAACUGACAGACUUGAGGGCUUCAGAGGGACACGGAAUUCCGGGUGGAGUGGUGAAAUGCGUAGAGAUCCGGAGGAACACCAAAGGCGAAGGCGAGUCCCUGGACACUUCCUGACACUGAGGCACGAAAGCUAGGGGAGCAAACAGG